Non-coding RNA from Kogia breviceps (pygmy sperm whale), 1097 nucleotides. The record is from RefSeq and is a predicted model, not a curated record. Lineage: Eukaryota; Metazoa; Chordata; Mammalia; Artiodactyla; Physeteridae.
GGAAGAUACACAAGGCGCCCUUCGUAGUGGGGAGUUGACGGCGGGUGUCGACGGCACCUCAGGUGCCCAGUGAACAGCGCUUCCUCCACGCCGCGAGCCUGGUGCGGGAGAGCGCAGCGCCGACACCUGGAAGAUCGCGUCUGGCGCAAGCGGCCCCACUGACGAGUUUGCCGGGUGGGCCGCUGGCACCGGGACGUCGAGCCUCCGGGCUCGCUCUGCGCGGGCUGCUAGGAGCACACACACCCGAUAGGCGUCCGCGCGGAUUUGGUGACGGGGGUCCGCUCACACCGAGGAGGACCUCGUCUGCAAUCGCAGGAGCUGCCAGCACGAGCAAGGGUGUCAGCUCAUCAGCACAGCAGCAAAUGUCCUGCUGGUCUGUCGUGUUCGAGUGACAGGAGCAGCACAAUUUUGCAGAAGAAACCCUACCCAUAUACAUGCACGAUUAGUGCUUCGGGGGGAUUAUUUCCAGCACAUUCCAUCAUGCACCUCCAGUUGAAACCCCCAAAAGUAAGAACUCUGAGGAAGUGAAGAGAAAGUUACUCUUAGAAGGCAAUGCAAUAGGAAAAGUGGCUUUGGAGUUCAACUGCCCUGGGCUCCACUUCCAACGGUGCCACCGGGCAGCUGUGUGACAGGGAGCACACCCCUUCACUCCUCCAAAAGCAGUGUUCUCAUUUGUCAAACAGAGACAGUCGUGGCUACCUCAUUGAGCUACUGUGACAAAUAAACAGUCACCUGGCAUGUAGCAGAGGUUCCCUGCACUGUAGUUAUUACAUCAGGUCCAGUGAGCACUUAUGAACAGAACCAAAAUUUAGGGGCUAUUAUUGUAACUGAGCAUUUAGUAAGUACAUAAAGAACACUACGAGUAGGACUCGGCGCUUUCACUGCUGUGGUCCAGAUUCAAUCCUUGGUCAGGGAACUAAGAUCCCGUAAGCCUCGCAGUGCGGCCAAAAAACAGAACAAAACAAAACAAAAAAACACUACUACUAAUGAUAGAGGAUCUUUCCGCAUAGUUGCUGGGCCCCAGGCUCUAUGAUAAACAUUCUACACUUAUCGUCUUUACACUAACCCUAUUCUGUGGGCAUUAUUAUUAGCCCCAA